RNAcentral lists this long non-coding RNA (555 nucleotides) under Salmo salar (Atlantic salmon). Its description in RNAcentral is "lncRNA (ENSSSAG00000088623.1)". Lineage: Eukaryota; Metazoa; Chordata; Actinopteri; Salmoniformes; Salmonidae. The record is from RNAcentral.
GUCAGGUACUGACUACAUUACAGGGUAGUGAUCAAUAGACGGGGUAAGGUCAGGUACUGACUACAUUACAGGGUAGUGAUCAAUAGACGGGGAAAGGUACUGACUACAUUACAGGGUAGUGAUCAAUAGACGGGGUAAGGUACUGACUACAUUACAGGGUAGUGAUCAAUAGAGGGGGAAAGGUACUGACUACAUUACAGGGUAGUGAUCAAUAGACGGGGAAAGGUAAGGUACUGACUACAUUACAGGGUAGUGAUCAAUAGAUGGGGAAAGGUACUGACUACAUUACAGGGUAGUGAUCAAUAGACUGUGAAAGGUACUGACUACAUUACAGGGUAGUGAUCAAUAGACGGGGAAAGGUACUGACUACAUUACAGGGUAGUGAUCAAUAGAUGGGGAAAGGUAAGGUACUGACUACAUUACAGGGUAGUGAUCAAUAGAUGGUGAAAGGUACUGACUACAUUACAGGGUAGUGAUCAAUAGAUGGGGUAAGGUACUGACUACAUUACAGGGUAGUGAUCAAUAGAUGGGGAAAGGUACUGACUACAUUACAGG